UAAUACGAACCGUCCAAACGUUAUUCGGAAUUACUGGGCUUAAAGGGUACGUAGGCGGCGCUGUUAGUCGGGUGUGAAAGCCCUCGGCUCAACCGAGGAAUUGCGCCCGAUACUGCAGUGCUUGAGGGAGACAGAGGUAAGCGGAACUGAUGGUGGAGCGGUGAAAUGCGUUGAUAUCAUCAGGAACACCAGUGGCGAAAGCGGCUUACUGGGUCUCUUCUGACGCUGAGGUACGAAAGCUAGGGGAGCGAAGGGG
This 256-nucleotide ribosomal RNA is filed under the name uncultured bacterium. Its description in RNAcentral is "partial 16S ribosomal RNA". It matches the Rfam family "Bacterial small subunit ribosomal RNA", at positions 521 to 776 of the family's 1533-position model. The record is from RNAcentral.